RNAcentral lists this ribosomal RNA (493 nucleotides) under uncultured bacterium. Its description in RNAcentral is "partial 16S ribosomal RNA". It matches the Rfam family "Bacterial small subunit ribosomal RNA", at positions 29 to 508 of the family's 1533-position model. The record is from RNAcentral.
AGUGAACGCUGGCGGUAGGCCUAACACAUGCAAGUCGAACGGCAGCACAGUAAGAGCUUGCUCUUACGGGUGGCGAGUGGCGGACGGGUGAGGAAUACAUCGGAAUCUACUUUUUCGUGGGGGAUAACGUAGGGAAACUUACGCUAAUACCGCAUACGACCUACGGGUGAAAGCAGGGGAUCUUCGGACCUUGCGCGAUUGAAUGAGCCGAUGUCGGAUUAGCUAGUUGGCGGGGUAAAGGCCCACCAAGGCGACGAUCCGUAGCUGGUCUGAGAGGAUGAUCAGCCAAACUGGAACUGAGACACGGUCCAGACUCCUACGGGAGGCAGCAGUGGGGAAUAUUGGACAAUGGGCGCAAGCCUGAUCCAGCCAUACCGCGUGGGGGAAGAAGGCCUUCGGGUUGUAAAGCCCUUUUGUUGGGAAAGAAAAGCAGCAGGUUAAUACCCCGCUGUUCUGACGGUACCCAAAGAAUAAGCACCGGCUAACUUCGUGC